CAAGACUGUUCCUCAUGCAGACUGGACGUAGGAACUCUGGGUGUCAAUGGAAGCUAGGCUGGGAUAUGCCACAUCCCUGCUCCUGCCCUGGAAGCCAACUCAUUUCCAAAUAAAGAAAAAGAUGGCUGAAUUGGUCCAGCGGUUUCACUUAACAGAUGAGAAAGCUGAGACCCAGAGGACAAGACAGAAGAGGACAAGAAAAGCUCACACAGCAACUGAUGCUUGCUUGCCUCAGGGCAUGGAGAGGGUGUUCCAUCAAGGCCUCCUUCUGCCCAGUGUAUCCUGAAGGAAAGAGGAGGGACUGCCUCGACCCCAGCAGGGAGAAUGGGGUUGCCUUGCACUGGAGGCCUGCGGUGCCCUUUCCAGCAUCUCUCCAGCUUAUCUGAAAAAUACUAUUUGGGUUUCGUUUGGGGACCUGGAAACUAUGUUGGAAAUAGAGGAACUUUAGAAAGCCAGCAAUUGUCUUUGUGCUAUGAGUGACUCAGUCCCCUGGUCUUUGAGCCAGAGGUUUUAAUAUGUACACAACAUUUGCUUCCUGAGAUGCUGGCAGGCCAUCAUGCACUGAUGUAUUGCGGGGAAAUCCAAGGAAUCUUAACUGUGAACCCGGCUUUCCUCAACAUGGCAGGGAAGUAUCAGAGUGGAGGGAAUAUAGAAAAUACCUAGUCUAGAGGUUUCCAAACUUUUUUUUUUUUUUAAAGCUAUGAAGACUUUCUUGAAAUGAAAUGAUGAAAUGGCCUUUAGGUUAUACUGUUUCUGUUGCAAACCACGCAUGGAAUGCAAACCUAUGACACCCUGGUCAUCGUUCAGGGAAAUUCCCUAGACCAGGGGUUGCUUGCAUUGGAUGUGGCUCCCAGACACACUUUAUUUGGAUGGCCCGGUGUUUGUUUUUACAUCCUUGCAGAUCACCAUGGUUCCUACUUCUUUUUUUUUUUUUUUUUUUUUUUUGAGACGGAGUCUCGCUCUGUUGCCCAGGCUGGAGUGCAGUGGCGCGAUCUCGGCUCACUGCAAGCUCCGC
This 1015-nucleotide long non-coding RNA is filed under the name Homo sapiens (human). Its description in RNAcentral is "HSALNT0330156". The record is from RNAcentral. Lineage: Eukaryota; Metazoa; Chordata; Mammalia; Primates; Hominidae.